Molecule: ribosomal RNA, 566 nt
Filed under: uncultured bacterium
Lineage: Bacteria
Description: partial 16S ribosomal RNA
Rfam family: Bacterial small subunit ribosomal RNA
Source: RNAcentral
UGGGGAAUUUUGGACAAUGGGCGAAAGCCUGAUCCAGCAAUGCCGCGUGUGUGAAGAAGGCCUUCGGGUUGUAAAGCACUUUUGUCCGGAAAGAAAUGGCUCUGGUUAAUACCUGGGGUCGAUGACGGUACCGGAAGAAUAAGGACCGGCUAACUACGUGCCAGCAGCCGCGGUAAUACGUAGGGUCCAAGCGUUAAUCGGAAUUACUGGGCGUAAAGCGUGCGCAGGCGGUUGUGCAAGACCGAUGUGAAAUCCCCGAGCUUAACUUGGGAAUUGCAUUGGUGACUGCACGGCUAGAGUGUGUCAGAGGGGGGUAGAAUUCCACGUGUAGCAGUGAAAUGCGUAGAGAUGUGGAGGAAUACCGAUGGCGAAGGCAGCCCCCUGGGAUAACACUGACGCUCAUGCACGAAAGCGUGGGGAGCAAACAGGAUUAGAUACCCUGGUAGUCCACGCCCUAAACGAUGUCAACUAGUUGUUGGGAUUCAUUUCCUUAGUAACGUAGCUAACGCGUGAAGUUGACCGCCUGGGGAGUACGGUCGCAAGAUUAAAAGCUUAAAGGAAUUGAC